UCCCUGGUGGUCCAGUGGCUAAGACUCUGUCCUUGCAAUGCAGGGGUGUAGGUUCAAUUCCUGGUUGGGGAA
Molecule: transfer RNA, 72 nt
Filed under: Bos taurus (domestic cattle)
Lineage: Eukaryota; Metazoa; Chordata; Mammalia; Artiodactyla; Bovidae
Rfam family: tRNA
About the family: Transfer RNA (tRNA) molecules are approximately 80 nucleotides in length. Their secondary structure includes four short double-helical elements and three loops (D, anti-codon, and T loops). Further hydrogen bonds mediate the characteristic L-shaped molecular structure. tRNAs have two regions of fundamental functional importance: the anti-codon, which is responsible for specific mRNA codon recognition, and the 3' end, to which the tRNAs corresponding amino acid is attached (by aminoacyl-tRNA synthetases). tRNAs cope with the degeneracy of the genetic code in two manners: having more than one tRNA (with a specific anti-codon) for a particular amino acid; and 'wobble' base-pairing, i.e. permitting non-standard base-pairing at the 3rd anti-codon position.
Source: Rfam by way of RNAcentral